CNGCGACCCCAGGUCAGGCGGGACUACCCGCUGAGUUUAA
RNAcentral lists this ribosomal RNA (40 nucleotides) under Veronica decora. RNAcentral's name for it is "partial 28S ribosomal RNA". The record is from RNAcentral. Lineage: Eukaryota; Viridiplantae; Streptophyta; Magnoliopsida; Lamiales; Plantaginaceae.